GUGCCUAUAGCUUAAUGGUCAAAGCUCCGCUUUGUGGAAGCGGCGAUACGGGUUCGACUCCCGUUAGGCACC
RNAcentral lists this transfer RNA (72 nucleotides) under Candidatus Portnoyibacteriota bacterium. Its description in RNAcentral is "Candidatus Portnoybacteria bacterium tRNA-His". It matches the Rfam family "tRNA". Rfam says of the family: Transfer RNA (tRNA) molecules are approximately 80 nucleotides in length. Their secondary structure includes four short double-helical elements and three loops (D, anti-codon, and T loops). Further hydrogen bonds mediate the characteristic L-shaped molecular structure. tRNAs have two regions of fundamental functional importance: the anti-codon, which is responsible for specific mRNA codon recognition, and the 3' end, to which the tRNAs corresponding amino acid is attached (by aminoacyl-tRNA synthetases). tRNAs cope with the degeneracy of the genetic code in two manners: having more than one tRNA (with a specific anti-codon) for a particular amino acid; and 'wobble' base-pairing, i.e. permitting non-standard base-pairing at the 3rd anti-codon position. Lineage: Bacteria; Candidatus Portnoyibacteriota. The record is from RNAcentral.